Molecule: ribosomal RNA, 301 nt
Filed under: uncultured bacterium
Lineage: Bacteria
Description: partial 16S ribosomal RNA
Rfam family: Bacterial small subunit ribosomal RNA
Source: RNAcentral
CAGCCGCCACGGGAAUACGGAGGGUGCAAGCGUUAAUCGGAAUUACUGGGCGUAAAGCGCACGCAGGCGGUUUGUUAAGUCAGAUGUGAAAUCCCCGAGCUUAACUUGGGAACUGCAUUUGAAACUGGCAAGCUAGAGUCUUGUAGAGGGGGGUAGAAUUCCAGGUGUAGCGGUGAAAUGCGUAGAGAUCUGGAGGAAUACCGGUGGCGAAGGCGGCCCCCUGGACAAAGACUGACGCUCAGGUGCGAAAGCGUGGGGAGCAAACAGGAUUAGAUACCCCUGUAGUCCCUGUCUCUUAUAA